GAUGAGAACGCAGCGAAAUGCGAUAAGUAAUGUGAAUUGCAGAAUUCAGUGAAUCAUCGAAUCUUUGAACGCACCUUGCACUCCUUGGUAUUCCGAGGAGUACGCCUGUUCGAGUGUUAUGAAGCUCUCAAAACGCAAUUGGCUUAAAACCUGAUUGUUGUUUUGGAUUUGAACUUUGCCGUGUUAUAACGGCUGGUUUUAAAAGUAUUAGCUGGUACUAGAACGAAUUGGUUCUACUCAACGUGAUAAUUAUCUGAUCGUUGAGGACAUUCCUUUCACGAGGAAUGGCCAUAGUAAAUUCAAUGGACUGCUUCUAAUCUGGCUUUAAUUCUUUAUUGGAUUAACCACUUUUCAAAUCUGACCUCGAAUCAGGUGGGACUACCCGCUGAACUUAAGCAUAUCAAUAAGCGGAGGA
RNAcentral lists this unclassified non-coding RNA (415 nucleotides) under soil metagenome. Its description in RNAcentral is "partial contains 5.8S ribosomal RNA, internal transcribed spacer 2, and large subunit ribosomal RNA". The stretch from base 5 to 119 matches the Rfam family "5.8S ribosomal RNA", at positions 40 to 154 of the family's 154-position model. The record is from RNAcentral.